RNAcentral lists this ribosomal RNA (695 nucleotides) under uncultured Alphaproteobacteria bacterium. Its description in RNAcentral is "bacterial SSU rRNA". It matches the Rfam family "Bacterial small subunit ribosomal RNA", at positions 28 to 771 of the family's 1533-position model. Lineage: Bacteria; Pseudomonadati; Pseudomonadota; Alphaproteobacteria. The record is from RNAcentral.
AGCGGACGCUGGCGGCAGGCCUAAUACAUGCAAGUCGAGCGGCCCUUCGGGGCAGCGGCGGACGGGUGAGUAACGCGUGGGAACGUGCCCUUUGGUACGGGAUAACUGAGGGAAACUUCAGCUAAUACCGUAUGUGCCCUACGGGGGAAAGAUUUAUCGCCAUUGGAGCGGCCCGCGUUGGAUUAGGUAGUUGGUGAGGUAAAGGCUCACCAAGCCUACGAUCCAUAGCUGGUCUGAGAGGAUGAUCAGCCACACUGGGACUGAGACACGGCCCAGACCCCUACGGGAGGCAGCAGUAGGGAAUCUUGCGCAAUGGGCGAAAGCCUGACGCAGCCAUGCCGCGUGAAUGAUGAAGGUCUUAGGAUUGUAAAAUUCUUUCACCGGGGAAGAUAAUGACGGUACCCGGAGAAGAAGCCCCGGCUAACUUCGUGCCAGCAGCCGCGGUAAUACGAAGGGGGCUAGCGUUGCUCGGAAUUACUGGGCGUAAAGGGCGCGUAGGCGGAUGUUUAAGUCGGGGGUGAAAGCCCGGGGCUCAACCUCGGAAUUGCCUUCGAUACUGGACAUCUUGAGUACGGGAGAGGUGAGUGGAACUCCGAGUGUAGAGGUGAAAUUCGUAGAUAUUCGGAAGAACACCAGUGGCGAAGGCGACUCACUGGCCCGUUACUGACGCUGAGGCGCGAAAGCGUGGGGAGCAA